GUGCCAGCCGCCGCGGUAAUUCCAGCUCCAAUAGCGUAUAUUAAAGUUGUUGUGGUUAAAAAGCUCGUAGUUGAACCUUGGGCCUGGCUGGCCGGUCCGCCUCACCGCGUGCACUGGUCCGGCCGGGCCUUUCCCUCUGUGGAACCCCAUACCCUUCACUGGGCGUGGCGGGGAAACAGGACAUUUACUUUGAAAAAAUUAGAGUGCUCCAGGCAGGCCUAUGCUCGAAUACAUUAGCAUGGAAUAAUAAAAUAGGACGCGCGGUUCUAUUUUGUUGGUUUAUAGGACCGCCGUAAUGACUAAUAGGGACAGUCGGGGGCAUCAGUAUUCAACUGUCAGAGGUGAAAUUCUUGGAUCAGUUGAAGACUAACUACUGCGAAAGCAUUUGCCAAGGAUGUUUUCAUUAAUCAGGAACGAAAGUUAGGGGAUCGAAGACGAUCAGAUACCGUCGUAGUCUUAACCAUAAACUAUGCCGACUAGGGAUCGGACGGUGUUAUUCAUGACCCGUUCGGCACCUUACGAGAAAUCAAAGUGCUUGGGCUCCAGGGGGAGUAUGGUCGCAAGGCUGAAACUUAAAGAAAUUGACGGAAGGGCACCACCAGGGGUGGAGCCUGCGGCUUAAUUUGACUCAACACGGGGAAACUCACCAGGUCCAGACACAAUAAGGGAUUGACAGAUUGAGAGCUCUUUCUUGAUUUUGUGGGUGGUGGUGCAUGGACCGUUCUUAGUGGUGGGGUGACUUGUCUGCUUAAUUGCGAUACGAACGAGACCUUAACCUGCUAAAUAGCCCGCAUUGCUCCGGCAGUGCGCUGGCUUCUUAGAAGGGACUUUCGGCUC
Molecule: ribosomal RNA, 837 nt
Filed under: uncultured fungus
Lineage: Eukaryota; Fungi
Description: SSU rRNA
Rfam family: Eukaryotic small subunit ribosomal RNA
Source: RNAcentral